UUAAAUGUUGAGGACUAAAGAACUUUAAGGCAUACUUGAGCUUCAGGGCAUGAACAGAUGGUCGGACAUCCUCCUUCAGGAUCUUCAGGUAGAGAACAGAAUUCAUGGUUCCAUCAGUUACGGCAAAUUGUCCAAGUCCUGAAGCAGCAAAGCGGUCCCAGCCCAUCACAUCAUCACCACCAUGUUCAACUGCUGCUGCCAGGGUAAAGGGAGAGCGUGCUGGCACUUGACAGCUUUUCUCGGAGAACCUGAAGGAGACAAAAUAACACAGUGAGAGAGAAAUACACCAGGUUAGAAGAAAAUCCAUCCCAAGGUUUCUACUUGUUUGCCUGCAUGCCACCAAGGUCUAACCCAGCCAGGAGAAAACAUCAGCAGUCUGAGACAACAAGUCUGUUUGUCUCAGAUCUUUA
Long non-coding RNA from Oreochromis aureus, 410 nucleotides. Lineage: Eukaryota; Metazoa; Chordata; Actinopteri; Cichliformes; Cichlidae. The record is from Ensembl.